This 206-nucleotide long non-coding RNA is filed under the name Homo sapiens (human). Its description in RNAcentral is "non-protein coding lnc-FBXO31-5:2". The record is from RNAcentral. Lineage: Eukaryota; Metazoa; Chordata; Mammalia; Primates; Hominidae.
AGGCUCAGUGGUGUUGAGUGUCAUGGAGCUUUUGUAGCUGUCCCAGGGACUCUUGCCAUGCUUGACACACAACAGGUGCCGCAUAAGUACUUGUUGAUUUUGGAUACCUGCUGUUUUCUCUGGUGGGCAUUGCACUGGGGGAUCUGGGAGCCCUGGGAGUCCACUGGGGCACUUGGAAGCUUCCUGUUUUCACUUUUGUCAUUUCC